AUCAAUAUAUAUAGCUUCUGACCUUUGACUCUGCAGCAGAUCCCAACAUUUUAAAGAAAAAUAUAAAGAGAAAAUGUAAGUGUUCAACUAGGCUUCUUAUAUCUUUCACUUCCUCAUAUUACAGUAAUUUUGCUAUUCCAUCCAUGUCUUUUGAGGUGGUGCAUCGUUUCUUUUCAUGCUACCGUUGCAGGCCAUCAACGCAAAACGAAGAACAUGAUGCUGCGCAUUGCUAGUGUACGCAACCGUCAACAUAUCAUCAUCAAUGAGUCUACUGAUCAAAGGCGGUGAUUCACCAUACGUGUCACUCUUAAAACAGUGGGAAUCAUUUGAAACUGUUAACCCCUGCACCAUUCAGAAAAACAAAGCUGCCCUUAUAACAUGGCUGUAGCAACUCACUAGUAAGGUACCUUCAUAGUCAAGUUACACAUAUAUAUAUAUAUGAUGGACCAGCUACAUCUUUCCAGUGUAUGCAUCUGUCUUGAAUGUUAGAUCAACUGUUUUGUUGAAUUUAGAGUUAUUCUAGGCUGAUCUGUACUGUGCAGAUAACGUAUAUUUGCUUAAGUGCUUUUCUAAUUAUUUUUGGCUAAACUACAUUCAAGGUCACUAAACUAUUAGUAAAUUUACGUUCUGAUCACUUAACUUCAAAAACUUAUAAAAUGGUCAUUGAACUAUUUGAAAGUUUUCAUUUACAUUGCUAAACUAUUUGAAAGUUUUUAUUUAAGUCACUAGGUUGUUAAGUUUUUUUUAAUAAAAAAAUUUUGGCUACUAAGCUCCAAGUAGAACAUACCUUGAUCUAAGUUAAUCUGACAAUUAGUGUCGAAGAUCGAAGAAGAAAGUUAUUUGGAUUUUAAUUUGUAGAUUCAUGACGUUCAAAGUUAUUUCACAAAAAAAGUUUGAACUAUAAAAGAAAAGGAUAAAGAGAACUUUCAAUUCGUAUAAGUGGUGUGAAUAGAGAAGGUCAUAUAAUAAAAAUUUUAACAACCUAGUAACUUAAAUGAAAACUUUCAAAUAAUAUAAUGACUAUUUGUAAUUUUUUAAAGUUGAGUAACCAAAACUUAAAUUUACUAAUAAUUCCGUGAUCUUGAAUGUAAUUUAUCCUAAAUUUUUAAUGCUUUUGCAAAACCAUUCCCAAUAAUAAUUUAAAGGAAAAAAACUUAAAUUUUUUAAAAGAUUAUGCUAAACUUGCCGUGGCAGUAUUUAAACCGAGUUAAAUAUUAUCCAAACCAUCAACUUAUUAAAGAAAAACAGUGAGAAUCAAGUGUGCCUGAUCAAAUGUGACAUUGCCUUAUAAUGUAGGAGACAUUUUUUGUUGUUGUUGUGUUAUGGGAGAGACAGGUAUUAGUCAACCCACCUAGCUUGCCCUAAAGCUCGUAUUAUUGUUUAAAAAAUAUUUUUAUUUAAACCUAAUCAUGAAAAUAUAUCAAUAUUAAUAUAACUUUAUUUCUAUAUGUUUUAUGAUUUAUAAAUAGUAAAAUGAGUCAAAAUCAAGAUUGAAAAAUAUAAACACAGGUCCAAUUCUAAGCGGGUCAAGCCUAUUCAGCCAUUGGAUCACUAAUUUUUUCAAUAAAAAAAUCAAAAUGCAAACAUGGUACUCUUACAUGAGUCUAACAAGGGUUGCUCCCAAAUGUAUCAUUUCCCCACUUGUGACCACUGCAAACAACAAAUACUAAUUUCAAUACGGCUGGAUUUGGAAUUUUACAACUUUUUAAUUCGGACUAUCUUUCUUUUUUUUUUAACAUAAAAAGGUUAAUUUUUUUUUGAAUAUUUUUUAUCAAACAAAUUAAUUUAGCGUUUUUAAAAUAAAAUAAAUGAUCUAACUGUAAAAAAAUUUAAAAAAUUACACUAUUUAAAAUUAAAAUUUUCAAUAUGCAAAAAAGAAUAACUAACACUAUACUAAAAUUUUCAUAAAAAUCAUUAUAAUUCCAAUAUACAAAAAAAAGUGAAAAAUAUUUUGUCAAUAUAACGUAUAACUUUAUGACUUAAGGGAGCGAAUUAUAUGAAAUACAAUUUGGCUAAGGGAGACUAAUAUUAUACAAUGUGGACAUCAAAUCUAAGAUACAUUAUAAUUUAUAUAUAAAAUUCAAAAAUCUCACCACUGGAUUCAUCUCUGAAUUUCAAUAUACCCCCUUCAUCUUUAUUCAACUUUUGAUUUGGUUUAGAAUAAACGAUAAACUAACAUUUAGUCUUUGAAUUUUAUAAUUUUUCUCAAUUAAUUUCCUGAUUUGUUAUUUACAUUAGUUUCAAAAUUUGAUACAAAUUUUGAAUUUAAUCCUUAGAUUUCAUUAAAGUGUAAUGACUUGAUAUCCAAAUUUUUUCAAUAUUAAAAUAUCACAUCAUUAUAUAUCUUCAACCGAAUUAAAAUUCAAGGAUGAAUUUAAAAUAAAAAUCAAUUUUCGACUAAUAUGGACAAAAGAUUUUAGAAACCAAUGUAGCAAAAUGUUGGUUUAUCCUAAGGAAAUCAGAAAUAUUAAAUUGAUAAAUCUUUGGGGUCAACAGUUGAAUCCCACAGACUCUAAGCCAGAAAUCCAGGUAAUAGAAGAAGCUUCAUAGGGUCUGUUUUUCUUUUAAGUACAGCAAAUGUUUCUUGGCAGCUUGUGAUUUUUUUGGUUAAAAGAAACAUUUGGACGGCCAAAGCUUUUUUUGCUUUACAAUUGUGUCACGCAAGGUAUAUAUCUCCAUACUUCAUACAUUCCACUGCUCAAGGUCACUAAUUUUUGGUUACCAAACCUUUGUCUUUAUAUAUUUUUCCAUAUGAAAAUGAUUCUAAACUAAUUCUAUCAAUCAAUUUUAUACUUCAUAAAAAAAGAAAGAUAUAUUCCUUCGAAAACUAAAAGAGGUUAGAACGGAUAACAAAACCAACACUAUUGCAACCGGACAAGGCUCGGCGAAGAUCAAUUGGGUUGGUCUGUCCAAAGCUUGAAAUGAGAGGAAUCAACCUUGCUAUCAAUGAUGUUUGAAUUGGAUUGAGUCGGCCGAUCAAACUAAUUUAAAGAAUUGUUUUGAGCCGAUUAAAUCUAGAAUCGAUACAGACUAAUCGAAUCAGUGAUUGAAUUUUUUUUUAAACUUUUAAAUGAUUUCUUAGCCAAACUAAUUGGAUUGACAAAAUAAAUCAGUGACUUGAAUAAUUCGGCCAACGAUCCAAUUCUAAAAACAUUGCUUAUUGUGUCAAGGAAACGAGGAACCGAAAAAGAUAGGAAAAAGAAUUACAAUGAGAUUUGGGAAGAGAGUGACCGAGGACAAGUAAGGGUCUUGACCCUUCCCUUGAAAAAUAGCAAAUCUCUCAUUUGGUUCAUUCAAAAUUUGUGAAAUCGUAAAUUAGUAUAAUGAUAAAAUUACACUUUAUUCUAUAAAAUUUAUAAUUUAUUUUUAAUUUUUAAAAAUAAUUUUCUGACUUUACCCAAGUUACACACAGAAAACAAAAAAACUGUAAUUAUGUAAUGAUAUUAAAAUAUAUAUAUAUUUUAAUAUACCCAACACAUUCUUUUAUCCUUAAAUUCUAUAUAUAUAUAUAUAUAUAAAGAGAUUAAUAUUAAUUUGGCAAUGUUAUUAUAAUGAUGUUGAACCUUUAAAUUAUUGGUUAAAAUACUGUUUUUCUAUUAUCUUUAAUAAUGGAGUUAAAAGUUAUUGGAUGCUUGUAGUUUGAUCAAAAUCAUUGAUGAAGCACAUGUUAUCAUGAUUUAAUAUUAUUUUAGGAGUGAAACAAUAUUAAUAAUUCCCACUAAGUUUUGAUUUUAACAUGUAGGGACAUUGCUUGAAUAAAUUGCAUGAUUCAUCUUAAAACUUAAUCUUUCUUCAUAAAUUAAUUAAAUUAUUUUAAUUUACAACCCUACCAACUGCUCAUUUUGUCUCUCUUUAGUAUUUGCUGAUUUGUCUUUUAUAUAUUAAAUAAUGAUUAAAAUAUGCCUAAAGUUCUUAUAUUAAAAUUUAUUUAAGUAAAUAUGUUGAUAUAAUAUUUUAAAAUUAAAAAAAUCAUUCAAUAAAUAUGUAAUAUUAAAAUGAAUUUAAAUUUAAAUUUUAAAAAUUUUAACGAUAAUAACAAUUAAAUUUUUUAUUUUUAAAUUAAAAAAUAGAAGAAUUAGAUUUAUUAAAAUGAAAUAGAUGAAUUGAAUUUUAAAUAUAUUUUAACUUUUUAUCAUAUUCAGAAUUAUAAGAAUAUAUCAAUGGCCCACGUUGCCCACCAAACAUACCUAAUCCGUUAGAUAAAAUUGUAUGAGACUAAUCUUACUGGUCUGUUCACAGUUUCUCAAGUGAAACCAUUCAUCCAUUUCCACCUGCUCGUCUGAUCAUCAUCUAACGGUUUGAGCUUCA
This 4308-nucleotide long non-coding RNA is filed under the name Gossypium barbadense (sea-island cotton). RNAcentral's name for it is "long non-coding RNA (GBAR_LNC022869)". The record is from RNAcentral. Lineage: Eukaryota; Viridiplantae; Streptophyta; Magnoliopsida; Malvales; Malvaceae.